AAAAAGCCAGGUCAUUGCGUAUUCGAAAAUACUCGAGUUGAAAAUGAGAGCUAUCCAAUCUCAUUCAUAU
Caenorhabditis elegans is the source of this 70-nucleotide non-coding RNA. Lineage: Eukaryota; Metazoa; Nematoda; Chromadorea; Rhabditida; Rhabditidae. The record is from Ensembl.